GCAAGGGGAGCGGCAGACGGGAGAGUAACACGUGGGAACGUACCCUUUGGUUCGGAACAACCCAGGGAAACUUGGGCUAAUACCGAAUAAGCCCUUACGGGGAAAGAUUUAUCGCCGAAGGAUCGGCCCGCGUCUGAUUAGCUAGUUGGUGAGGUAACGGCUCACCAAGGCGACGAUCAAUAGCUGGUCUGAGAGGAUGAUCAGCCUCACUGGGACUGAGACACGGCCCAGACUCCUACGGGAGGCAGCAGUGGGGAAUAUUGGACAAUGGGCGCAAGCCUGAUCCAGCCAUGCCGCGUGGGUGAUGAAGGCCCUAGGG
This 319-nucleotide ribosomal RNA is filed under the name uncultured bacterium. RNAcentral's name for it is "bacterial SSU rRNA". It matches the Rfam family "Bacterial small subunit ribosomal RNA", at positions 86 to 422 of the family's 1533-position model. The record is from RNAcentral.